This 766-nucleotide long non-coding RNA is filed under the name Anas platyrhynchos platyrhynchos (common mallard). RNAcentral describes it as "lncRNA (ENSAPLG00000024052.1)". The record is from RNAcentral. Lineage: Eukaryota; Metazoa; Chordata; Aves; Anseriformes; Anatidae.
GUUAAUUGCUGCCCAUAGCAUUUUUUUAGUCUACCUCAAUUAAAAUAAACAAUUGAUAUGGGAAUAGAAAGGUAUGGAAUAGUGAUGACAAAUGUACCUGCAUUAGCGAAGUCUUGAUUUGUAUUUGAUUGUAUUAGCAUAAGUUAACAGAUCUCUGGAACCUGUUGAUGUUCUUUGAAUCAAGAUAUAAGAUAGAUUUUUUUUUAAUUUUUUUUUUCCCCUAGUACUAGAGCUUUGUGUUGUCUCUGCUUCAGGUGGACUGUGACAAGAACUACUGAACUAUAAUAACUUCAGGAGAAGAAAGACAGCAACUACUGUUCUACAUGUUCAAGUUGAAAGACAAUUCUGGUCAGAAGCUUGAAAUCACAGAUCCCAGCGUCACAAUGAGGGGAGAAGAGAGGCUCAGCCUGUCGACUGAUCCCAGAAGUCAGGAGGUCAUUGUGAUGAUGGUAUUUCCUCUGACGAUGGUAACUUCCCUCACAUUCCCUCUCUUAGGCCCAUUGAUAUUAUUUUCUAUCUUUUAGGUGGAGCUUGAGUGACUCUAGUCAAGCAUAUCUUAGUUACGACUGAUUUCCUAGUCACUCUAUGCAAUUACACCACAGUAUUUCACGUGGUUACUUUUUUUUUUUUUUUUUCCCCAGAAAAUGUCCUUCUCAGGCAUACUUAUCUGUUUUUGAAAUGUAAGUUGUGUGGAGCUGUUUGUGAAUUUGCAAUAUGCUCUGUAUUAUGAGGAAUGCCAUUCAGUGAGACCUGGACCAGCUGGAGA